GUGACCAUAGCUCAGUUGGCAGAGCUCUAGGUUGUGGUCCUAGCGGUCAUCGGUUCGACUCCGAUUGGUCACCCCA
This 76-nucleotide transfer RNA is filed under the name Affinundibacterium cyanobacteriorum. RNAcentral's name for it is "Undibacterium sp. 20NA77.5 tRNA-His". It matches the Rfam family "tRNA". From Rfam's summary of the family: Transfer RNA (tRNA) molecules are approximately 80 nucleotides in length. Their secondary structure includes four short double-helical elements and three loops (D, anti-codon, and T loops). The record is from RNAcentral. Lineage: Bacteria; Pseudomonadati; Pseudomonadota; Betaproteobacteria; Burkholderiales; Oxalobacteraceae.